Molecule: ribosomal RNA, 253 nt
Filed under: uncultured bacterium
Lineage: Bacteria
Description: partial 16S ribosomal RNA
Rfam family: Bacterial small subunit ribosomal RNA
Source: RNAcentral
UACGUAGGGGGCUAGCGUUGUCCGGAAUCAUUGGGCGUAAAGAGCGUGUAGGCGGCCCGGUAAGUCCGCUGUGAAAGUCGGGGGCUCAACCCUCGAAUGCCGGUGGAUACUGUCGGGCUAGAGUGCGGAAGAGGCGAGUGGAAUUCCUGGUGUAGCGGUGAAAUGCGCAGAUAUCAGGAAGAACACCGGUGGCUAAGGCGGUUCUCUAGUACGGUACUGACGCUGAGACGCGAAAGCGUGGGGAGCGAACAGG